Molecule: non-coding RNA, 26 nt
Filed under: Rattus norvegicus (Norway rat)
Lineage: Eukaryota; Metazoa; Chordata; Mammalia; Rodentia; Muridae
Source: RNAcentral
UAGAAGGGCUGAUGCUGUUCCAAGAC